RNAcentral lists this ribosomal RNA (253 nucleotides) under uncultured bacterium. Its description in RNAcentral is "partial 16S ribosomal RNA". It matches the Rfam family "Bacterial small subunit ribosomal RNA", at positions 524 to 776 of the family's 1533-position model. The record is from RNAcentral.
UACGAAGGGUGCAAGCGUUACUCGGAAUUACUGGGCGUAAAGCGUGCGUAGGUGGUUUGUUAAGUCUGAUGUGAAAGCCCUGGGCUCAACCUGGGAAUUGCAUUGGAUACUGGCAGGCUAGAGUGCGGUAGAGGAUGGCGGAAUUCCCGGUGUAGCAGUGAAAUGCGUGGAGAUCGGGAGGAACAUCUGUGGCGAAGGCGGCCAUCUGGACCAGCACUGACACUGAGGCACGAAAGCGUGGGGAGCAAACAGG